This 511-nucleotide ribosomal RNA is filed under the name Brachytron pratense (hairy dragonfly). RNAcentral's name for it is "partial 16S ribosomal RNA". It matches the Rfam family "Bacterial large subunit ribosomal RNA", at positions 1830 to 2597 of the family's 2925-position model. The record is from RNAcentral. Lineage: Eukaryota; Metazoa; Arthropoda; Insecta; Odonata; Aeshnidae.
GUCUUCUUGUUAUAUUUAGGAAGUCUGGCCUGCCCAGUGAAAAUAAUUUAACGGCCGCGGUAUCCUGACCGUGCAAAGGUAGCAUAAUCAUUAGUCUUUUAAUAGAGGGCUGGUAUGAAGGGUUUAACGAGGUGUUGACUGUCUCAUUUAAUUUGUAUUUAGAAUUUAAUUUUUUAGUUAAAAAGCUAAAAUAUUAUUGGAAGACGAGAAGACCCUAUAGAGCUUUAUAUUUUUAUUAUUAAUUUAUUAUAGAUUAUUAUUAUUUAUUAUUAAUAGAAGUAUUUUGUUGGGGUGACAAAAAUAUAUAAAUAACUUUUUUAUUUUAUUUACAUUGAUAUAUGAAUAUUAGAUCCAAUCUUAUUGAUUGUUAGAUUAAGUUACCUUAGGGAUAACAGCGUAAUCCCUCUCCAGAGUUCAUAUUUACAGAGGGGCUUGCGACCUCGAUGUUGGAUUAAGAUAAUAAUUAGGUGCAGCCGCUUAAUUAAUAGGUCUGUUCGACCUUUAAAUUCUU